Molecule: ribosomal RNA, 216 nt
Filed under: Glomeromycotina sp.
Lineage: Eukaryota; Fungi; Glomeromycota
Description: partial small subunit ribosomal RNA
Rfam family: Eukaryotic small subunit ribosomal RNA (bases 40-216)
Source: RNAcentral
GGGUCAGUAGGUUGGUCGUGCCACCGGUACGUACUGGUCUCACUGAUUCCUCCUUCCUGAAGAACCGUAAUGCCAUUAAUUUGGUGUUGCGGGGAAACAGGACUGUUACUUUGAAAAAAUUAGAGUGUUUAAAGCAAGCUAACGCUUGAAUACAUUAGCAGGGAAUAAUGAAAUAGGACGAUCGAUCCUAUUUUGUUGGCUUCUAGGAUUGACGUA